GCGCCGGCCGCCGAGCACUUCCGGGUGAGCCCGCUGGCAACUGGGGCGUCGUGCCCGCUGAAGCUAGGGCGGUUUGGUUGGUCCCCGACUUCCACUGGGCGGAGGCCCAGGAGACUCAUGAUGUAAUGUUUAGAAAAGAACAGGAGAAAAUGUCUGGAGAGAAAAAGAGCCAAUCCUAGGCCUGUGUGUGGAAACAGCUAGAGAGAUGGGACUUAACAGAAACCAGUAGAAGAAAAACAAACAUAUAAAAGCCUGCGAUGACAUUUUUAGCUUUUCUAUGGGAAGAAAUAGAUAUAAAAUUGAUGGUAUUACUAUUUAUUAUUAUUGCAUUUUGCUUUUGAAGGAGAAGUGACUGUAUGGUUAUCAAAAUCCAUCAGAAAGUAAAAAAUAAAAAUGGCUAUGCACCCUGUGCAGGUUACACACAAUUUUGCUUAUGAUGAAGACAUCCAAUGAAGAUCCCUCCAGUACAUAGUUGUAUAUUUUAGUGGUGGGUCCUUCUAGUUGUGGCAUGUGGGAUGCUGCCUCAGCGUGGCCUGAUGAGCGGUGCCGUGUCUGUGCCCAGGAUCUGACUGGUGAAACUCUGGGCUGCCGAAGCGGAGCAUGCAGACUUAACCACUCAGCCACGGGGCCGGCCCCAGUUUGUGUAUUUUAAUGAUUUACCAUUAAAAGGACCAGUUUACAAGAAGAAAAUUAACACCAGCACAGAUGGAUUAAUUUUACCCCUUAAAUAGGGUUUUUUUUUUGCCAUAUGGAUAAUCAUGCACAAACAGCAUCUUUUUCUUCAGUCUGUAAUAGUUCUACCAAAAGGGAAGUCUUAACAGGAACAAUAUGUAUUAAUAAAGAACACAAACACAGAAUUACUAAAUAUUUUGAUUUACAUUCUUGGCUCCACAUUGCUGCAUUGGGAGAGCAUUUAUUAUCUGAGACUAUCCCUCUGUUCUGAGGGAAUAAGAAAUAGUAUACCUAAGGAUGGCUCUCUUUGUAGCCAGGAAAAGGUAGAUUACCAUUCUAG
This 1012-nucleotide long non-coding RNA is filed under the name Equus asinus (donkey). RNAcentral describes it as "lncRNA (ENSEASG00005033804.1)". Lineage: Eukaryota; Metazoa; Chordata; Mammalia; Perissodactyla; Equidae. The record is from RNAcentral.